Molecule: ribosomal RNA, 490 nt
Filed under: uncultured bacterium
Lineage: Bacteria
Description: partial 16S ribosomal RNA
Rfam family: Bacterial small subunit ribosomal RNA
Source: RNAcentral
GAUGAACGCUAGCGAUAGGCUUAACACAUGCAAGUCGAGGGGCAGCAUGGUCUUAGCUUGCUAAGACUGAUGGCGACCGGCGCACGGGUGCGUAACGCGUAUGCAACUUGCCUCACAGAGGGGGAUAACCCGUCGAAAGACGGACUAAUACCGCGUACACUUGGGAUAGGGCAUCCUGACCCAAGGAAAUGAAAUUCGCUGUGAGAUAGGCAUGCGUCCCAUUAGCUAGUUGGUGAGGUAACGGCUCACCAAGGCGACGAUGGGUAGGGGAACUGAGAGGUUGAACCCCCACACUGGUACUGAGACACGGACCAGACUCCUACGGGAGGCAGCAGUGAGGAAUAUUGGUCAAUGGGCGAGGGCCUGAACCAGCCAAGUCGCGUGAAGGAUGACUGUCUUAUGGAUUGUAAACUUCUUUUAUACGGGAAUAACAAGAGCCACGUGUGGCUCCCUGCAUGUACCGUAUGAAUAAGCAUCGGCUAACUCCGUG